AUUUUAUUGGAGACAUAUGAUAAAAUUGGGAUGGUACAAAGAUUAGCAUGGCCCCUGCCCAAGGAUAUGCAUCCUUUUUAGAUUCAGAAAUACAUGCUU
Molecule: non-coding RNA, 99 nt
Organism: Phoenix dactylifera (date palm)
Lineage: Eukaryota; Viridiplantae; Streptophyta; Magnoliopsida; Arecales; Arecaceae
Source: RefSeq, a predicted model, not a curated record